CCAUGAGUGUGCUACAGUACUCCUCCAACGUCUGAGCGAGCGAGUGAGGGGAGGGCAGGAAACAACACUGACCACAGGUUAACACAAGUAAAAAGAUCAGCUCCGAGCCUGAGUACAACAGAACAGAAGCCCCUCUGAAGGAAAUGAAGAAAUCUAUACUUGUCUUCCUUUGUCUUGCUGCAUUGGCUGCAUGCACCUUUGCAACAGUGGGUUCAAUUGCUAAAUGCAAUUGCCUAAGAUUGACAGAUACAGUCCUACAACCCAGACGAAUUCAAGGGUUUCAGCAGCAAAAAAAAGAUGGCAGGUGCCCAGUUGAUGCUGUUGUAUUCACAACAAUCAAAGGGAAAAAAGUCUGUUCUGAUCCAGCAAAAAUCUGGGUAAAGAAAGCAAUCAAGAAACUGGGAAAAGCAGGAGGAGAAAGAAAGAAGGGAAAGGCCAAAAAACAAAAUAGAAAGAAGAACAUCUGCAUGAGACAGAAAUAAAAAAAACUGACCUGGACGAGAACCAACCAGCUGACCUAGUGUAUCCUUAAGAGAGGGACUGUUUUCAAACUAGACCCUUCACCUUUGCAUCAUACCACACACGUGUUUGAUCAGUGCAUUAGAAUUUGCUUUGUGCUCUUACAGCUCAAUGUUUCUAUUUACCAUGUUAUUAGCAAUAGUAAUGUUGGUGUUAAUAUAUUAAUAACAUUUGUCAUGGAAGUGGUAGCCCUAGGAUUUUCUUACUGAACCCAAGAACUGACAAUCCUAAAGAUUGUAAUGUUCCUGUGGCCGCAGGCUACAGAGCCUAUGGUACAGUAAAUACACGUUAAACUUCUUACUAGGUCCAGUAGACAAACAUGUCUUUUUCAAUAUCAGUUUUGUCUAUUAUAAAUAUGUUUGAGAAUGUAAUUUAAAUAGGUUUACUAAAGGAGGUGGUCAACUAGUAGCUUCCAAAGAAUGUAUCCAAAUCAUGCCAAACCAAAUUCUUUACUUAAUUACAGACAAGGUUUUCUGUAAUAUUGAAGACAUGAGAAAAAGAAUACAGUUUUAGUAUUGGAGCAACAGAAAUGUCCGUCUUAAAAAAAAGAGAUGGUUACAUGAAAUAUAAUUAAAUUACACUUUUAACUAUAUGUCCUUUUAAAUGUCUAAUGUGCUUACUUAAAUAUGUCAACACACACACACACACACACACAUAUAUAUUGUAAUAGUUUGUUUAUGAAAAAUAUGUUUUGAAUUGAAAACUGUACUGGGAUAA
Acipenser ruthenus (sterlet) is the source of this 1236-nucleotide long non-coding RNA. RefSeq lists it as uncharacterized. NCBI's taxonomy places the organism in Eukaryota, Metazoa, Chordata, Actinopteri, Acipenseriformes, Acipenseridae. The record is from RefSeq and is a predicted model, not a curated record. The transcript has 3 exons.